AGAGUUUGAUCAUGGCUCAGGAUGAACGCUAGCGACAGGCUUAACACAUGCAAGUCGAGGGGCAGCAUGAUUUGUAGCAAUACAGAUUGAUGGCGACCGGCGCACGGGUGAGUGACGCGUAUGCAACUUACCUAUCAGAGGGGGAUAGCCCGGCGAAAGUCGGAUUAAUACCCCAUAAAACAGGGGUCCCGCAUGGGAAUAUUUGUUAAAGAUUCAUCGCUGAUAGAUAGGCAUGCGUUCCAUUAGGCAGUUGGCGGGGUAACGGCCCACCAAACCGACGAUGGAUAGGGGUUCUGAGAGGAAGGUCCCCCACAUUGGUACUGAGACACGGACCAAACUCCUACGGGAGGCAGCAGUGAGGAAUAUUGGUCAAUGGCCGAGAGGCUGAACCAGCCAAGUCGCGUGAAGGAAGAAGGAUCUAUGGUUUGUAAACCUCUUUUAUAGGGGAAUAAAGUGGAGGACGUGUCCUUUUUUGUAUGUACCCUAUGAAUAAGCAUCGGCUAACUCCGUGCCAGCAGCCGCGGUAAUACGGAGGAUGCGAGCGUUAUCCGGAUUUAUUGGGUUUAAAGGGUGCGUAGGUGGUGAUUUAAGUCAGCGGUGAAAGUUUGUGGCUCAACCAUAAAAUUGCCGUUGAAACUGGGUUACUUGAGUGUGUUUGAGGUAGGCGGAAUGCGUGGUGUAGCGGUGAAAUGCAUAGAUAUCACGCAGAACUCCGAUUGCGAAGGCAGCUUACUAAACCAUAACUGACACUGAAGCACGAAAGCGUGGGGAUCAAACAGGAUUAGAUACCCUGGUAGUCCACGCAGUAAACGAUGAUUACUAGGAGUUUGCGAUACAAUGUAAGCUCUACAGCGAAAGCGUUAAGUAAUCCACCUAGGGAGUACGCCGGCAACGGUGAAACUCAAAGGAAUUGACGGGGGCCCGCACAAGCGGAGGAACAUGUGGUUUAAUUCGAUGAUACGCGAGGAACCUUACCCGGGUUUGAACGUAGUCUGACCGGAGUGGAAACACUCUUUCUAGCAAUAGCAGAUUACGAGGUGCUGCAUGGUUGUCGUCAGCUCGUGCCGUGAGGUGUCGGCUUAAGUGCCAUAACGAGCGCAACCCUUAUCACUAGUUACUAACAGGUGAAGCUGAGGACUCUGGUGAGACUGCCAGCGUAAGCUGUGAGGAAGGUGGGGAUGACGUCAAAUCAGCACGGCCCUUACAUCCGGGGCGACACACGUGUUACAAUGGCAUGGACAAAGGGCAGCUACCUGGUGACAGGAUGCUAAUCUCCAAACCAUGCCUCAGUUCGGAUCGGAGUCUGCUACUCGACUCCGUGAAGCUGGAUUCGCUAGUAACCGCGCAUCAGCCAUGGCGCGGUGAAUACGUUCCCGGGCCUUGUACACACCGCCCGUCAAGCCAUGGGAGCCGGGGGUACCUGAAGUCCGUAACCGCAAGGAUCGGCCUAGGGUAAAACUGGUGACUGGGGCUAAGUCGUAACAAGGUA
Molecule: ribosomal RNA, 1489 nt
Filed under: metagenome
Description: bacterial SSU rRNA
Rfam family: Bacterial small subunit ribosomal RNA
Source: RNAcentral